AGUGAACGCUGGCGGUAGGCCUAACACAUGCAAGUCGAACGGCAGCACAGUAAGAGCUUGCUCUUACUGGUGGCGAGUGGCGGACGGGUGAGGAAUACAUCGGAAUCUACUUUUUCGUGGGGGAUAACGUAGGGAAACUUACGCUAAUACCGCAUACGACCUACGGGUGAAAGCAGGGGAUCUUCGGACCUUGCGCGAUUGAAUGAGCCGAUGUCGGAUUAGCUAGUUGGCGGGGUAAAGGCCCACCAAGGCGACGAUCCGUAGCUGGUCUGAGAGGAUGAUCAGCCACACUGGAACUGGGACACGGUCCAGACUCCUACGGGAGGCAGCAGUGGGGAAUAUUGGACAAUGGGCGCAAGCCUGAUCCAGCCAUACCGCGUGGGUGAAGAAGGCCUUCGGGUUGUAAAGCCCUUUUGUUGGGAAAGAAAAGCAGCAGGUUAAUACCCCGCUGUUCUGACGGUACCCAAAGAAUAAGCACCGGCUAACUUCGUG
Molecule: ribosomal RNA, 492 nt
Filed under: uncultured bacterium
Lineage: Bacteria
Description: partial 16S ribosomal RNA
Rfam family: Bacterial small subunit ribosomal RNA
Source: RNAcentral